CCUUCGGGGUCAGCGGCGGACGGGUGAGUAACGCGUGGGAACGUGCCUUCUGGUUCGGAAUAACCCUGGGAAACUAGGGCUAAWACCRRAUACGCCCUUUUGGGGAAAGGUUUACUGCCGGAAGAUCGGCCCGCGUCUGAUUAGCUAGUUGGUGGGGUAACGGCCUACCAAGGCGACGAUCAGUAGCUGGUCUGAGAGGAUGAUCAGCCACACUGGGACUGAGACACGGCCCAGACUCCUACGGGAGGCAGCAGUGGGGAAUAUUGGACAAUGGGCGCAAGCCUGAUCCAGCCAUGCCGCGUGAGUGAUGAAGGCCUUAGGGUUGUAAAGCUCUUUUAUCCGGGACGAUAAUGACGGUACCGGAGGAAUAAGCCCCGGCUAACUUCGUGCCAGCAGYYKCKUUUAWUACGAAGGGGGCUAGCGUUGCUCGGAAUCACUGGGCGUAAAGGGCGCGUAGGCGGCGUUUUAAGUCGGGGGUGAAAGCCUGUGGCUCAACCACAGAAUGGCCUUCGAUACUGGGACGCUUGAGUAUGGUAGAGGUUGGUGGAACUGCGAGU
RNAcentral lists this ribosomal RNA (557 nucleotides) under Methylobacterium sp. RNAcentral's name for it is "bacterial SSU rRNA". Lineage: Bacteria; Pseudomonadati; Pseudomonadota; Alphaproteobacteria; Hyphomicrobiales; Methylobacteriaceae. The record is from RNAcentral.